RNAcentral lists this Y RNA (105 nucleotides) under Carlito syrichta (Philippine tarsier). Its description in RNAcentral is "Y RNA (ENSTSYG00000020034.2)". It matches the Rfam family "Y RNA". Rfam says of the family: Y RNAs are components of the Ro ribonucleoprotein particle (Ro RNP), in association with Ro60 and La proteins. The Y RNAs and Ro60 and La proteins are well conserved, but the function of the Ro RNP is not known. In humans the RNA component can be one of four small RNAs -- hY1, hY3, hY4 and hY5. The record is from Rfam by way of RNAcentral. Lineage: Eukaryota; Metazoa; Chordata; Mammalia; Primates; Tarsiidae.
GACUGGUCUGAAGGUAGAGAGUUAUCUCAAUUGAUUGUUGACAGUUACAGAUUAAACUGUUCCAUUCUUUCCCCUCUUCUUACUACUGCACUUGACUAGUCUUAA